This 253-nucleotide ribosomal RNA is filed under the name uncultured bacterium. RNAcentral describes it as "partial 16S ribosomal RNA". It matches the Rfam family "Bacterial small subunit ribosomal RNA", at positions 524 to 776 of the family's 1533-position model. The record is from RNAcentral.
UACGUAGGUGGCAAGCGUUGUCCGGAUUUACUGGGCGUAAAGCGCGCGCAGGCGGACUGGUCAGUCCGGGGUGAAAUCUCACGGCUCAACCGUGAGCGGUCCCCGGAUACUGCCAGUCUUGAGGUGUCUAGAGGAGAGCGGAAUUCCCGGUGUAGUGGUGGAAUGCGUAGAUAUCGGGAAGAACACCAGUGGCGAAAGCGGCUCUCUGGGGACCACCUGACGCUGAGGCGCGAAAGCGUGGGGAGCGAACAGG